Ictidomys tridecemlineatus (thirteen-lined ground squirrel) is the source of this 3074-nucleotide non-coding RNA. NCBI's taxonomy places the organism in Eukaryota, Metazoa, Chordata, Mammalia, Rodentia, Sciuridae. The record is from RefSeq and is a predicted model, not a curated record.
UGUCUGGGGUCUGGGAGGAAGGCCUGAUGGCAAUUCUUUGCUUGAAAGACAGAAACAGAACAUUGUUUCUACAGGCUUUGAUUUAAUGGCCAAAAACAGUUAUAGGAAACUGUUGAGCAGAUGUUCUAUAAAACUCAGAAAAGAUUGGGUCUUUGAGAAGGGCUAUUUUUAGACAAAUGCUUCCUACCAUGGAGGGGUUCGGUGCUCACAAAAGGGACAGAAAUCUAAAAAGAGAGAGAGAGAGAGAGAGAGAGAGAGAGAUGCACACAUGCUUGGAGGGAGCUUUGAACAUUUUGAUGACCACAUCUUACUUUUCCUUCCAUUUUUAAUAUUUUAAUAUGAAUUAAACAUAUUUGGGAACCUACAGAGAACGGAGUGUGGGUUGUAGAGCAGGAAGAGGGGUUUUGUGUUAGAUUUUCCUUUAUAAGGUGAGGAUUUGCCAAGUGUCAGAAAAUCUAUGUUUUGUCACAUUCUCCCCCUCCUGCUUAGCGUUCCAGCAACAAUCUGGUUUUCCUUGGCCACUUUACAUUCUUGCUUCCCUUUGCCUGAACGAAUCUUUUCUCCUCUCAUCCAUCCCUGCCUUCCUUGACCUCUGCCUCUUUUGGUCUAAGUCUUCAUUUUGUCCUGGGGCAGGCACCUCCUCCUCCAGGAAGCCUUCCCUGAGCUCUCUGUGAUGAACCUGAACUGAUGUCAUCCUCCAUUGCACUUCCGACAGGGCCGUGACUACUCUGCUCAUUGCAUCUGCUUCCUUUCUGUUUCAGAUUCAUUCUUAGGCUGGAAGCUCUAUGAUGUUGCAGACUAUGUCCUCAUGACCUUUCUGCAGUCGCCACUUAGCACCGGUUAGCACAAUAAUAAACGCAGCGAGUAAAAGUUGAAUACAUGGAUAGGAGAAGGAAGAGGGUGAGCAAUUUGGGAGAUUUUAAUCCAAGCCGAUGAAGUUGCAUUUCACCUGUAGGAGCAAGAAUCCAUCCUUUUUAUCUCUGCUGUUCAAAUCAAACCCAAAUCUGUUACUAACACAAGAUAACCAAAUAAUCCCCAUAAUGUGAGGUGGUUAGUACUAUUUUAAGGAAAUUGAGGUUUUGGGACAAUUAAUUAAAGAGCUGCCAUGUGAAAGCAUUCAGAUUCAGGUAUCUUUUAAUUUCAAGUCUUUUGUUUUCUUCACUCUGUGAGGGAAAAUAAUUUUCUUGGGGGAAGAACUCCAAGACAGUACAGGAUGUGUGUCCCUAGGAAAGAUCCCCCAUUAAGGGACAAGGUACAGAAAGGAGAGGUGGGGAAAUCUCAGAGAGCAUGCUUACUGCUACUUCUGGGGCCACAUCCAGCUGGAAUAAGAGGAUAAUCCAGGCUGGCCCAGUGAAGAGCAGCAGAUGACCUUCUACUUUCUCUCUCAUUCUCAGGCCUCUGGCCAGUGUCUCAAAGUCAGGUGAAGAGCCAAGGCCAACAUCUCCAACUUUCUGGCAAGGCCUGGACACCCGUCUUCAGGACACCAGUUCUCCUCCUUUGCUCUCUCCUUCCAGUGGUCACCCUGGCUUCCCCAGCCUUGCUGAGCCCUUUACAGAGAAACUGAUUGAGGGUUAGCUGCUGAGGAUGGAACCCAGGGCCUUGCUCAUACCAGGCCACACCCCAUGCUUUUCCAGAGGUGUUUGACAAAGUCCUUGUGAGGCUUUACCUCCAUGGACCCCUUCCCUCCUGAUCUUUGUGCACUCCCUUUCUUCCCAAAGUUCUCUGCUUUUCUCCAGGACUCUUCAUUAGAUUUCUUAUCCUGACCACUAAGGUCUGCAGGCAAAGAUGGGAGACAUUCCCCCCUAAGGUAAAGCAUCCUCAAAGCAAAAGAACUGCUGACAAGUGUGGAAUGUCAAGAGUGUUCCUGGAAACAUGCAAACAGCAUGCACAGUCCCUCCCACCCUUUUAUCUACAGUUUCAACAUCCUCAGUUGCAGUUACCCAUUUUCAACUGUGGUCCAAAAAUAUUAAAUAGAAAAUUUCAGAAAUCAAAAAUCUAGAAGUUUUAAAUGACUUGUGUUGCAGAAUGUGUUAUUACAAUUGUUCUAUUUUAUUAUUAGUUUGUGUUGUCAAUCUCUAAUUGUGCCUAACUUAAAAAUUCUAUCUUAUCAUAGGUAUGUAUGUACAAGAACGAGUAUACUAUAUAUAUAGGGUUUGUUGCUAUCUGUGAUGUAAGGUUUAUUCUGUGGAUAUGGGGUUCUUUCUCUAUUAGAAAGAACUAGCCAAGUAUUUUUUUUUUCCAGGCUUUUAAUUAGGGCUACUGCUAAGCUACUUUAUUUUCUUUUUUACUUGUCUUCUGUCUUUGAGUCAUCAAUACAGAGAUCAGAACAUAUCUGGUGAAGACUUCUGCUGGGUUAUGUUAUGCUGUGGUAACAAGAGUCAAACUUCAGUAUCUUGAAGCAACAUUCACUCCAGCUCCACCAUCACUGUAGUUGGCAGGGGGCUUGGUUCUAUGGUGUCAGAAGUACUCUGGACUCCAGGCUCAUAAGCAGCUCUUACCUGACACAUGCCAGAGAGAGAAACAGAAUGGCCAAAGCUCUUCAGUGGUCCUCUGCCAGAAGUGACCCUGUUGGAAUUUCAUCACUUCUAUGGACAUCUCAAUUUUAGAACAAGGAAGUAGGAUCGUGCAGUGUGUUUAGAUUCAGAAUAACUUAUGCAAUGAACAAGUUUUGAUGUGCUUAAUAUUGGGUUAGGUUUUGUUGAAAAAAAAAACAACAACAAAUCAAACAUGAGUCUGAAACUUGUUGUGGAGGAACUUUUUCUGUAGUUAGGGAACUAGGAUUCCUCACACCUCAAUGCCUAAAACACAUGAUAAGUUGGUCUAAAGUAAUGCACACUGCCAAGUCACAUAGAGAGGGACAGUAGAAUUUCAGGUAAGCUGUUGGCAAGCCCUGAGAAGGCAAACAAGGAGAAUCUGAUCUGGAAAAAAAUGCACUAGCUAGUGAGAUGUUUAAGUAGAGCAAUUAUAUACAUUUCAGGGAUGAGUGAAUCCUUAGAGUUGAUAGAGUUAGAUUCCUUAACCCUUUCUCAGCUAAGUCUUUAGUUGCCUUCACUAAAAAAAAAAAAAAAAAAAAA